RNAcentral lists this long non-coding RNA (1066 nucleotides) under Piliocolobus tephrosceles (Ugandan red Colobus). RNAcentral describes it as "lncRNA (ENSPTEG00000005438.1)". The record is from RNAcentral. Lineage: Eukaryota; Metazoa; Chordata; Mammalia; Primates; Cercopithecidae.
UUCUAGAAUCAAAAUGUUCCGAGGGAUGGCAGCCUCGAGGGAAUCCACGCACAGCCUCCCGCUUGUGCAGAAAGAAGCUGCAUGCGAGACCUGAGCAGAACUCCUCUCCUGUCACACAGCGGACAUUGCUCAACAGGCAAGAGAAUGUGCCAAGGAAGGAGCUGGGUGAGGCCUGGAACAGACAAGCAAACAUCCAGGCACUCUGUUCUUACCCUUCCCCCUGCCUUUUCUACUUGGAGAAUCAUCACCUGGUCUUAAAAGCCAGGCCCUUGAAGCCAUGUCUUCUUGUGAACACUUCCCCUGUCUGGCCUCCACCUCCUCCUGGCCUCUCCUCCUGGGCACUGCGCUUUCCCUACAGGGCUGAGAUGCCCUUGCAGACAAGCACUGGGAGUUAUUCCCAUGCUCCCCUGGCCCCAGCAGGGUGCCUUGGCCAUAGUAACCCAUCAGAAAGAGUCAGUCCAAUGACCAUAAGGGAAAGGAAGAUGGGAGGACUGAAGGCAGAGGGACAGAGAAGCCAAAGGGCAAAGCAGUAACCAUGUUCGGGGGAUGGCCAGUGAAAUGUGAUUUAAUGCCAACCCCAUGAGUAAAUGGGAUCUUUACUCUGACCCAUGGGACAGCCGGUCCAGGUACUCACCCGGUCACCUGUCUAGCUGUGGAUCACAGAUACUGAGAGAAACGUGUGAACAACAUGCAUGAUUUUACCAGGAAUCUUUUAUUAUCAUUGUUGAUCCUUAUUACAACCCUGUGAGAUAACUAGGGUAGAUAUUAAUAAUCCCAUUUUGCAGCUGAGGAGGCUAAAGCUCCAAAAGGGCCAGGUGCAAUGGCUCACGCCUGUAAUCCCAACACUUUGGGAGGCCAAGGCAGGAGGAGCCCUUAAGGCCAGGAAUUCAAAACCAGCUUAGCAACAUAGUGAAACCCCGAUCUGUACAAAAAAUUAAAAGUUGCCAGGCACGGUGGCUCACGCCUGUAAUCCCAGCACUUUGGGAGGCUGAGGUGGGUGGAUCACCUGAGGUCAGGAGUUCGAGACCAGCCUGGCCAACGUAGUGAAAUCCCGUCUCUACUAAAA